GAAGAGACAGGAACACAGGUUGAAGCAACUGAUGGGGCCUGAAUUAGGACUCUUUCAACCUGUGCUCACCAACAGGUGUCAGCCUCACUCUCCCCAGCUGCAGGCCAACUUCCUCCAGGUAGCCCAGUAGGUCUGGGGUGGCUGGAAGGCCUUAGUCAUCGCCCCUGGCAUGUCACACCCCAGCUGGGAUUUUGCCCUGAGGGCACUGGGAAGCCACUGAAAAAUUUUCUUCAGGGGAGUGGCAUGAGAAGCCUGCAGUUUUGAAAGACCAUUGUGUACAAUGGUUAGACAUAGGGAGGGAGAAAGGAGGCUCCAGGAAGAAUCGGAAUGAGAACUGAUGAGGACCUGAACUGCAGCAGGAGGAGAGAGAGUGGCGAGGACGUCUCACGUGUGAGGACGUCUCACGUGCUGUCAUGUCAUUUAUUGGCACCACCUUCAACACAACUACUCAAGCCCAGUUGCUGAGCAUCAUCUGGAAUCCUUUCACCUUCCCAUGCACAAUCCUUGAGAUCCGGAGAUGCUACCUCCAAAAGGCAACCAAAAAAUCUAACGACGACUCACUAUCUUCCCAUCUACUGUCCAGUUGUGUAUAUAUGCGUCUAUGGACCAGGUAGUGUGUCAAAGGUAUUUCUUAGCUGUAGGGUUGCAGCAAAAAAGUUUGGAAGCUAUUCAUUGCCCAUUAGGCAAUUAAAGAGUAAAGAUGUGGCCCCUGCCUACAUCUUUAAUCUCAUCUUCUGUCAUCUCCCCCUCUUUGCUCCUUUAGUCCCUGGAAAGUGGUAAGCUCUUUCCUGCCUUGGGGCCUUAGUAUUUGCUGUUAACUCUACCUGGAACAUUCUCCUUAUCUUUCCCAUGGCUGAUUCACUGCCAUCCUUCAAGUCUCAGUUUAAUGUCAUAUCCUCAGAGAGGCCCCCCAUCCAUAUUAUGUAAACCAUGUCUUCUUCCCAUCACUACACGCUAUGGUCUGAAAGUUUGCAUCUCCCCAAAAUUCAUAUAUUGAAACCUAAUCCCCAAUGCAAUAGGAUUAAGAGGCGGGACCUUUAGGAAAUAAUUAGGUCUUGAGGGUAAAGCCCUCAUGAAUGGGAUUAGUGCUUUUAUAUAAUAAAAGAGGCCUGAAGAAGCUUAUUAGCCCCUUCUGCCAUGUGAAGACUCAUAGAAAGUGCCAUCUAUGAGGAAGCAGGCCCUCACCAGACAUCAAUGCUGCUGCCUUGAUCUUGGGCUUCCCAGCCUCCAGAACUGUGAACAAUGAAUUUCUGUUGUUUAUAAGUUACCUAUCUAAGGUAUUUUGUUAUAACAGUCCAAAUGGACUAAGCCCUAAAGGACUUUUUCUAAUGAAUAGCUACAGGUUGAUUUACGAUCAGUUUUUUUAUGAGACUGUAAGCCUUCUGAGGUCAGUAAUGGUGUGUGUAUGUGACUGUACCCUGCAUCUGCAUCCUACUUUUACCUAACAAAAAGAGCCUCACAGAAAGCUUUGGCAAUUAAUGACAGCCUGUAGAGUUCUGUAUUCAUAGAAGCAGUAGGGGUACAUGCUGCAGUGGGUAGAAUUGUGUUCCCCAAAAAGAGAUGCUCAAGCCCUAACCCUGGUAUCUACGAAUGUGAUCUUAUUUGGAAAUAGGGUCUUUGCAGAUAUAAUUAGUUAAGAUCAGGUCAUACUAGAGUAGGAUGGGCCCUUAAUCCAAUAUGACUGGUGUCAUUAUAAGAAGAGGAAGAGAUACACAAGGGCACACACCAGGAGAAUGUCAUGUGACAAUGGAAGCAGAGAUUGGAGAGCUGUGUCUAUAAGCCAAGUAACAUCAAGGAUUGCUGGCAACACCAAAAGCUAAGAGAAAGGCGUGGAACGGACUCCCACCUUGAGCCUUCAGAGACAGCGUGGACCUACUGACACCUUGACUUCAGACUUCUAGCCAGAACUUUGAGAGAAUAAAUUUCUGUUUUUUAAGACCC
Molecule: long non-coding RNA, 1941 nt
Filed under: Homo sapiens (human)
Lineage: Eukaryota; Metazoa; Chordata; Mammalia; Primates; Hominidae
Description: long intergenic non-protein coding RNA 2065
Source: RNAcentral